CCUUUAACACUAUUCACAGACCAGCAUCUCUCUCUCAUCUGUCUUUGCAUCUGUCUGUCUGUCUGUCUCUCUAUUGUUAUCUCCUUUCACAUGACACUACACUCUGUAAAACCCCCGUUGGAGAUGAGGCUGCUUCCUGUUAAAUGAUCCUGGCGUCUGGCAUGUAAAGACAACUGCGAACAAAGUAGUAUGUCCUGCAGUAAAGAUACAUAAAAGUCAUAAAAUACCAGAACAGCGGUUGGGGGGAGGGGGGUUGCAUGUGUAUGAGUGGGAGAAGAGGGUGGUGAGUUUCGCCAUGUGCUGUUUCUCCCCAGAUCUGUUUUUUAAAAGUCACUUCAGGCCCUUUGGCCAAUCUGCACUUAAUUACCUGUUCCUGCCCUAUUUCCCAGGCAGCCAACCAGUGCGGCCAGGCUAUUCCCCAUUCCCUCUGUGAGGCCCGUCUCUGGGGCUCAGCUGAUGCAUUACAAAUGCCUUGUGGACUGCAUCUGAUGGGAUUUUCCCUAAGUGGUCAGGAUGCCAACCACAGUCCUGAUCGUUUUAAAUGGCUUGCGAUCCUCAGAUGUGGAGAUGCUCAUUAGUGGCCGCAGGAGCCCGCUAUCAUGAACAGGUUGAACCAAGGAGCUCUGUCAACCUGAGCAUUAAUAGGAGUAAGCGUGUCAAUAAAAGUUCCCAAGAUGAAGCCAUAGAAUGAGGCACUUAAGGACAAUUAUAAACAUUUUGCCCUGUGGUGACUCUCCCCUAUCAAACCUACUCCUAGCCUGAUAAGCACUGCCUCUUUAGGGAUCAUUAAUUUCCUUGAAAAUUUAAACAGCUGUCACUUGUGAUCCUCCUCAGGUGCUCAUGUGGGAGAGAUUAGACUAUGUUUAUAAGCCAGUCUGUUCAUUAAGCGCCUGCCCAUGUGGAACCCCCUCCACAGGCCUGCAGAUCACCCACAGAUAAUUGGGGGCCAUGGCAAAUUACACAGAGGCGCUGCAGGCAGCAAGAAUGGUGUGGCCUUAUUAAUAUCAGUGUGUGAGAUCUUAGUUCCCCGAUCAGAGAUUGAAUCCAUGCCCCCUGGAUUGGAAGCACAGAAUCUCAACCACUGGACCACCAGGGAAGUCCUGACACCCUAUAUCUUGAAAGUAGAAACGUAAGGAUCUGAGAGUUGGACCAGAAAGAAGGCUGAACACUGAAGAACUGAUGCUUUCGAACUGUGGUGUUGAAGAAGACUCUUGAGAGUCCCUUGAACAGCAGGGAGGUCAAGCCAGUUAAUCCUAAGGGAAAUCAGUACUGAAUAUGCAUUGCAAGGACUGAUGCUGAGGUUGAAGCUCCAAUCCUUUGGCCACCUGAUGCUAAGAGCUGGCUCAUUGGAAAAGACCGUGAUGCUGGGAAAGAUUGAAGGCAGGAGUUGCAGACUCUAAAUUCUAACUCUGCUUCCCUGGUGGCUCAGAUGGCAAAGAAUCUGCCUGCAACGUGGGAGACCUGGGUUUGAUCCCUGGAAGAUCCCCUUGAGAAGGAAAUGGCAACCCACUCCAGGAUUCUUGCCUGGAGAACCUCCAUGGACAGAGGAGCCUGGCAGACUACAGUCCAUGGGGUUGCAAAGAGUUGGACACAACUGAGCAACUAAGCACAGUACAGCU
This is a long non-coding RNA of Bos taurus (domestic cattle), 1619 nucleotides long. The record is from Ensembl. Lineage: Eukaryota; Metazoa; Chordata; Mammalia; Artiodactyla; Bovidae.